CUGGUAUUGAUUGGUGCUUGCAUCAUGAUUUACAUUUGAGUGAGUGGCGAACUGGUGAGUAACACGUGGGAAACCUGCCCAGAAGCGGGGGAUAACACCUGGAAACAGAUGCUAAUACCGCAUAACAACUUGGACCGCAUGGUCCGAGCUUGAAAGAUGGCUUCGGCUAUCACUUUUGGAUGGUCCCGCGGCGUAUUAGCUAGAUGGUGGGGUAACGGCUCACCAUGGCAAUGAUACGUAGCCGACCUGAGAGGGUAAUCGGCCACAUUGGGACUGAGACACGGCCCAAACUCCUACGGGAGGCAGCAGUAGGGAAUCUUCCACAAUGGACGAAAGUCUGAUGGAGCAACGCCGCGUGAGUGAAGAAGGGUUUCGGCUCGUAAAACUCUGUUGUUAAAGAAGAACAUAUCUGAGAGUAACUGUUCAGGUAUUGACGGUAUUUAACCAGAAAGCCACGGCUAACUACGUGCCAGCAGCCGCGGUAAUACGUAGGUGGCAAGCGUUGUCCGGAUUUAUUGGGCGUAAAGCGAGCGCAGGCGGUUUUUUAAGUCUGAUGUG
RNAcentral lists this ribosomal RNA (558 nucleotides) under Lactiplantibacillus plantarum. RNAcentral describes it as "bacterial SSU rRNA". It matches the Rfam family "Bacterial small subunit ribosomal RNA", at positions 67 to 596 of the family's 1533-position model. The record is from RNAcentral. Lineage: Bacteria; Bacillati; Bacillota; Bacilli; Lactobacillales; Lactobacillaceae.